UUUCAGACUAUAAGCUAUAUGGCAGAGCGUGUUGUAGGACAUGGAUCAUUUGGAGUUGUCUUCCAGUUGUUUUCUAGGUCAAUGAAAUGAGAGAUAGACCUUCAUGCAAAGUUUCUCAAUGUUGAGAAUGUACUUGGCUUACACGAGGCUCUUCGGAGAUAAAUAGUAGCUUUGAUGAAUGUAGAAGGAAUCAAUAUGGAACUUGUUGCAAGCCAUCUCCAC
Long non-coding RNA from Vicia villosa (hairy vetch), 222 nucleotides. RefSeq lists it as uncharacterized. NCBI's taxonomy places the organism in Eukaryota, Viridiplantae, Streptophyta, Magnoliopsida, Fabales, Fabaceae. The transcript is spliced from 3 exons. The record is from RefSeq and is a predicted model, not a curated record.